CUACUUAGUCCGUCACCACUGACAGUUGUUGUCGGUGUAAAAAAAAUAUGCCAACUACAGCAUAAGCAUACCUGUGAAAUGCCAAGAGCAACAAAAGGGGUAAAAAUAUAAAAACCAUAUGUUUCCACAAGAUAGCUCUCUUUUGCUGACUGAUCCUCAACCGGAGUGCAGUGCGCGCGUGAUUAAUUAGUAUUACCGUAUAGUGAGGUUAAACAAUAUCACCUCGUGGUGAAGUCCACUAUCAUUUUAGUGUUGUUUCUUUUGUGAAUCGUAGAGGUUAAAAGUUCAAUUACCUACGGUUAGUAGUGUGGCGGUAAAAGUGUAAGCAGAACCAUAAUUUGCCAAAUUUAUUGUAAAUUGUAGGUUACCGUAAUUUCGACACUCAAAUACGCUUUGUAUAAUUGUGAAAUAUUGUAUUAAGGAAAAGGUCCCAGAUAGGACCUUUUUCUUUUGGUGUUUUUCCCAGUGUUGAGCAGCUCAUCAGAGGUUCUCCAAGUGAAGGAAGCACAUGUAGAAUUGGAUCCAUCUUAUUGUGCGAAGCCAUCCCGCUGCCGAUUGGAAGGCCCGCGGCCGCCAUUGCUCCAUCUACACCGGCGAAACCGUUCAUAGAGUCUGCCACGCGGUGGGAAAAUCUCCAUUAUGGAUUUGGAAUCUUUUGUUUGGCAUACGUCGGCAUUCAACGAUUGUGCUUUUGUUCGUCAGCCGCCGACAUCCAAUCCUCACCUUAGUUCGGCACCUCAAUCACGCUUCUCUCCGGCUUCUGGCUGGCACCGCUCCAUUACCUCUGGAAGUCUCUCGACUGGCAUCAUCAUCAUCACCUCUGUUCGGCUUCCCGCCGACAUCCCACCAUCUCUUCUGUCUGGCAGUCCGCUGAUACUACAACCGGCUAGUGGCUGGCAAUUGACCAUCGUCUCCGUUCGGCAUCCGCCGACUCUACAACACCACUUCAGUUCAGCCCAGCCGGCAAUACACCAACACUACUGUCCAGCAUCCGCUGGCAUCCAAGCAUUGCUUCAGUUCGGCUCCAAGCCGACAUCCGACCAAGCCUUCGACCCGUUUCUCUACUGGCAUUCAACCAUCAAGUGCCAAUGGGAGGCACUAUAACAGCACGAUAGGUGCCAAAGCCACCCCAUGACCGGUCCGCCUGCCAACGCUACCACCCACCCAGCAUGCAUGCAAGUAUGAACCCUAAACUGUGACGUCAUUAGAAUAAAUACCUGUAAAAUGAA
This is a long non-coding RNA of Aedes aegypti (yellow fever mosquito), 1229 nucleotides long. RefSeq lists it as uncharacterized. The transcript is spliced from 2 exons. The record is from RefSeq and is a predicted model, not a curated record. Lineage: Eukaryota; Metazoa; Arthropoda; Insecta; Diptera; Culicidae.